UGCGCCUUGCCAGCCCGCUCAGAAACUUAAAGGAAUUGACGGGGGCCCGCACAAGCGGUGGAGUAUGUGGUUUAAUUCGAUGCAACGCGAAGAACCUUACCUGGUCUUGACAUCCCGGAGACCCUUAGGAAACUAGGGGGUGCUUCCAUCUGGAAGAAUCUGGAGACAGGUGCUGCAUGGCUGUCGUCAGCUCGUGUCGUGAGAUGUUGGGUUAAGUCCCGCAACGAGCGCAACCCUUGCCUUUAGUUGCCAGCAGUUCGGCUGGGCACUCUAAAGGGACUGCCGGUGUUAAACCGGAGGAAGGUGGGGAUGACGUCAAGUCCUCAUGGCCUUUAUGACCAGGGCUACACACGUACUACAAUGGCCGAUACAAAGGGCAGCGACACUGCGAGGUGAAGCCAAUCCCGUAAAAUCGGUCUCAGUCCGGAUUGGAGUCUGCAACUCGACUCCACGAAGUUGGAAUCGCUAGUAAUCGUGGAUCAGCAUGCCACGGUGAAUACGUUCCCGGGCCUU
RNAcentral lists this ribosomal RNA (513 nucleotides) under uncultured Desulfobulbus sp. Its description in RNAcentral is "bacterial SSU rRNA". It matches the Rfam family "Bacterial small subunit ribosomal RNA", at positions 903 to 1382 of the family's 1533-position model. The record is from RNAcentral. Lineage: Bacteria; Pseudomonadati; Thermodesulfobacteriota; Desulfobulbia; Desulfobulbales; Desulfobulbaceae.